AUACGUUGAGCUAACCGAUACUAAUGAACCGUGAGGCUUAACCUUACAACGCCGAAG
RNAcentral lists this ribosomal RNA (57 nucleotides) under Klebsiella aerogenes. RNAcentral describes it as "partial 23S ribosomal RNA". The record is from RNAcentral. Lineage: Bacteria; Pseudomonadati; Pseudomonadota; Gammaproteobacteria; Enterobacterales; Enterobacteriaceae.